RNAcentral lists this ribosomal RNA (509 nucleotides) under Natrialba aegyptia. RNAcentral describes it as "bacterial SSU rRNA". It matches the Rfam family "Archaeal small subunit ribosomal RNA", at positions 73 to 581 of the family's 1478-position model. The record is from RNAcentral. Lineage: Archaea; Methanobacteriati; Methanobacteriota; Halobacteria; Halobacteriales; Natrialbaceae.
GACUCGUGGCAGAUAGCUCAGUAACACGUGGCCAAACUACCCUAUAGAUCCGGCCAACCUCGGGAAACUGAGGCUAAUCCGGAAUAACGCUUUCAGCCUGGAGUGGCGAGAGCGUGAAACGCUCCGGCGCUAUAGGAUGUGGCUGCGGCCGAUUAGGUAGACGGUGGGGUAACGGCCCACCGUGCCAGUAAUCGGUACGGGUUGUGAGAGCAAGAGCCCGGAGACGGUAUCUGAGACAAGAUACCGGGCCCUACGGGGCGCAGCAGGCGCGAAACCUUUACACUGCACGCGAGUGCGAUAAGGGGACUCCAGGUGCGAGGGCAUAUAGUCCUCGCUUUUCUCGACCGUAGGGAGGUCGAGGAACAAGUGCUGGGCAAGACCGGUGCCAGCCGCCGCGGUAAUACCGGCAGCACAAGUGAUGACCGCUGUUAUUGGGCCUAAAGCGUCCGUAGCUGGCCAGACAAGUUCAUCGGGAAAUCUGCGCGCCUAACGCGCAGGCGUCCGGUGGA